Molecule: microRNA, 22 nt
Filed under: Bos taurus (domestic cattle)
Lineage: Eukaryota; Metazoa; Chordata; Mammalia; Artiodactyla; Bovidae
Description: bta-miR-544b
Gene: bta-miR-544b
Source: miRBase by way of RNAcentral
AUUCUGCAUUUCUAACAAGUUC